UACAGAGGUCCCAAGCGUUGUUCGGAUUCAUUGGGCGUAAAGGGUGCGUAGGCGGCGCGGUAAGUCGGGUGUGAAAUCUCGGAGCUUAGCUCCGAACUGCAUUCGAUACUGCCGUGCUUGAGGACUGGAGAGGAGACUGGAAUUUACGGUGUAGCGGUGAAAUGCGUAGAUAUCGUAAGGAAGACCAGUGGCGGAAGGCGGGUCUCUGGACAGUUCCUGACGCUGAGGCACGAAGGCCAGGGGAGCAAACGGG
RNAcentral lists this ribosomal RNA (253 nucleotides) under uncultured bacterium. RNAcentral describes it as "partial 16S ribosomal RNA". It matches the Rfam family "Bacterial small subunit ribosomal RNA", at positions 524 to 776 of the family's 1533-position model. The record is from RNAcentral.